RNAcentral lists this unclassified non-coding RNA (22 nucleotides) under Mus musculus (house mouse). RNAcentral describes it as "oocyte_clustered_small_RNA12489". The record is from RNAcentral. Lineage: Eukaryota; Metazoa; Chordata; Mammalia; Rodentia; Muridae.
UUCCAGGGGGCUAAAUACGCAA